This is a long non-coding RNA of Brachypodium distachyon (stiff brome), 2330 nucleotides long. RefSeq lists it as uncharacterized. The transcript has 2 exons. Lineage: Eukaryota; Viridiplantae; Streptophyta; Magnoliopsida; Poales; Poaceae. The record is from RefSeq and is a predicted model, not a curated record.
CCGCUCCCUACGCCUCCCGAUCUGUCUGUCUGUCGUCGCGAGGGUUCGCGUAUUUGGGCGAGAUUUAGGGGUGUAGAUUAUUGAGUUGAUUGCCUGGUUAGGUUACUGGGUACGGGUUUUGCGCCGAGGGGCUCCUGCGCUGGUACAGUGUGUGCGGAAGCGGAACUGGUGAGUUUGUGUGAAGUCUGAAGUCUGAACGAUGCUAUUGUGAAUCCAAUCUGUGGUUUGUUGGUUGGGUUCUGCUGCGGGUGGAGCAGAGAGCAGAUGUGGAGUUCGUCUAGGUUAUGGUUGUUUUGUCACAUAGGUGAUGGUUGUUUGGCGAGUACAUGGGUGGAUAUUCUCUUGGGUUAGACUGAUUGGUGUGUUACUAGAUGCACAACAAAACUUGAAUCCUGAGCAUAAACCAGUCUGCAGAAGCUAAGGGUCGUUCUGCUGGGACGUUCUCGCUACAGGCUACAGGUAGCACCUAUUGAUGAAACUUUUCAUUUAGGGGGUUUACAUUGAUGAAACAUCUGGAGCUGAUAGCCCUUAGUUGCGGUAUUUUAGCGGCGGCUGGAGGUCUUAUUAUUAUUGUCUUGAUAAUUGAUUAAUUGCAGAUAUUUAUUUUUUGAAACAUGUAAAAUGUAAUGCUGGAUUCUGCCUAUCUUCAAAUGUGGUCGAAUUCGGAGGGAAUAAUUGAGGAUUUAGAAAGGCAUAUGUUUGUUGUCUGGUUAAAAGAAUUUCUUCAGAAUAUGUCAACCUGUCAGUUAGCACCUUUCGUUUUGUUGCCAAAAUAUGUUGUGACUAUAUGAUCAUCGUUUCUAGCAUAUUUUUGUAUCAAGCUGAAGGAACAUUAUGCUGGCAGCUGGCAGAGAAAAACACAAUAUUGUGAAUAGAGUUAAAGGAUCGUUGUUUGGACUUCGGAGACACGGUUUUGGCUGGCCCAAAAAUUGUCUAUAAUGUGGAGUAUCUCAUUAGUUGGUUAGCUUUAAGUAUGAGUUAGGUAAGUUAUCCUUGAGAGUAACACUGAUCUCAUCUAUAAUUGCCAGGAGAGCCCUCUAUAUAAGAAAGCCUAUUGUAAUAGUUGGCAUUAAGCAAGAGUAAACAAGUUCACUUCAUCCUCUUCUAUGUCUCUCCCCCUAAAGAAACCUUCGCCGCCUGGCUGUCCUCUUGUUAGUUUUUAUAAUGAAUUUAGUGAUAUUACAAUAUAUAUUGAAAGAAAAUCUCCAUCAAGUUUUAAAAAUGAAAACUAAUGGCAUAGAAACAUACACGUGUGCAGGCACUGUAUACAGUCCACACAUUCUUAUAAUCAAUGCACUCGAUCUGCAAAAUUCAGUUGGCAGCCCAGGUCUAAGGGAGAGGUCAAGCAUGCUUAACAGUGACGCCCAGAUCUCUGACGGAUUGUGGCUGUGGCCGCUUGCAUUGAAAGUGGUGGAAGUGGAACACAUCGUCUGAUAUACCGUGUCCAGUUGGAUGAAAUAGGUUCGGACUCUGCCACAAUCCCAACAUGGUCGAACUGAUGGACUCCAAAUACUCUGAGGGCAUGAGAGUCUGGCUAGAAGGGAGAAACUGGGAGAGCUAAGGCUGCGGUGCAGGUCGGGUGUGAGGUGAUCGGCGAGAGCAAGGGGAGAAUGGAGUGGAGAGCUGAAGUGGGAUUGGAUUUUAGCGAUGCAAACAGUUACCUAUUGUAGGCUGACACGCCUGCUGGUGGCGGCAGGACACCGUGAACACUACAUUCAUCAUGCUCAACAAGCCAGGAAGGGUUGUGCCUGUCGCUCGUUUCUGACAUGAUGCUGGCGGUGCACUUCUUGCUGAGGGGUGCCAAGUGUGAGGCCUUUGAGCCCAGUGAUGUUUUGCGGCUCAUGGGUGGCAUCUUGUCCUGCCACAGGGGCAACAAUCUCAUUCUGCGUGCCAGCAGGAGAGGCCAUGCGGAGAAGGUCGGAGUUCACAAUGUUGUUAGUUGAGACGUCCAACAUGCACGAGGUGAGGUGGGCACGUGACCCUGGUGACCCCAGGAAGAUGGUGCAGGAGACCAUUGUCUCACCCUACUCCCAGUUUUUCAAGCUGCUGCACUGAUUAUCACGUUCCAGGCUUCCAGCUCAGCCUUUUGUUGUCAAACUGUGUAUUGGUAAUUGUGUUGGUUUUGCAUGGCCAAUAUGAGGUUUGUGGUUUGUCCAGCCGUCCAUGCACUGUAACAUCUCUUUCGAGAGAGUACCAGCAAGAAACUGUGUGUUGCUACGUAUUAAAAAAAUCACUACAUUGAUGUGCUGACCUAUGUAUCCACAAAUUGAUGGCAUUUCUGGGUGUUUUUGCAAUACAUAUUUUAAGGUGCUGAUUUCUUUAGGAGUAAA